AGUUUCCUCUCUCUUGCUUAUCAUCGGUGUCGGCCGUGGGUUAUGUUCUCCCAGAAGUAGAGCCUGAGACAAAGAUGGGGUGCAAGGAGUUUGGGAGGUGUUGGGAUCACUGUCAGACGGGCAGAGAGGAACGGCAGCCAAUAAAAGGAAAGUGGCAGGUUUCAACAGGCAAAGAUGUAUACUACGUCUACAAGAAGUUGACUACUCCAGCAAUCCAGCCAAUGGGAAACUGUCUUCUCCUGGACCUCUGCUUCUCUUUAAUGGACUUUUGUUCCAAACAAUCCCUAUCAGCUUCCUCAAUUUCUAUAAAAAUAUUCCUCUCCUUU
This is a long non-coding RNA of Mustela erminea (ermine), 326 nucleotides long. RefSeq lists it as uncharacterized. NCBI's taxonomy places the organism in Eukaryota, Metazoa, Chordata, Mammalia, Carnivora, Mustelidae. The transcript is spliced from 2 exons. The record is from RefSeq and is a predicted model, not a curated record.